This 1163-nucleotide ribosomal RNA is filed under the name uncultured organism. RNAcentral describes it as "bacterial SSU rRNA". It matches the Rfam family "Bacterial small subunit ribosomal RNA", at positions 317 to 1478 of the family's 1533-position model. The record is from RNAcentral.
GACUGAGACACGGCCCAGACUCCUACGGGAGGCAGCAGCUAAGAAUCUUCCGCAAUGGGCGAAAGCCUGACGGAGCGACGCCGCGUGAACGAAGAAGGCCUAACGGUUGUAAAGUUCUUUUCUUGGGGAAGAAUAAGCCUUGCAGGGAAUGGCAGGGUGAUGACGUUAACCGAGGAAAAAGCCCCGGCUAAUUACGUGCCAGCAGCCGCGGUAACACGUAAGGGGCGAGCGUUGUUCGGAAUUAUUGGGCGUAAAGGGCGCGUAGGCGGCAUAGCAAGUCAGGUGUGAAAGAUCUCAGCUCAACUGAGGAAACGCGCUUGAAACUGCUGUGCUGGAGUCUAGGAGGGGAAGCUGGAAUUCCUAGUGUAGGGGUGAAAUCUGUAGAUAUUAGGAAGAACACCGGUGGCGAAGGCGAGCUUCUGGCCAUAGACUGACGCUGAGGCGCGAAAGCGUGGGGAGCGAACAGGAUUAGAUACCCUGGUAGUCCACGCCGUAAACGAUGUGCACUGGGUGUCGGCCCGUUGGGGUCGGUGCCGAAGCUAACGCGAUAAGUGCACCGCCUGGGGAGUAUGCUCGCAAGGGUGAAACUCAAAAGAAUUGACGGGGGCCCGCACAAGCGGUGGAGCAUGUGGUUUAAUUCGAUGAUACGCGAGAAACCUUACCAGGGCUUGACAUAUGUAGGACAGCGUUGGAGACAACGCCUCUCUUCGGAGCCUAUAUACAGGUGCUGCAUGGCUGUCGUCAGCUCGUGCUGUGAAGUGUUGGGUUAAGUCCCGCAACGAGCGCAACCCCUGCCAUCUGUUGCCAGCAUUUAGGAUGGGGACUCAGAUGGAACUGCCGGUGACAAACCGGGGGAAGGUGGGGACGACGUCAAGUCAUCAUGGCCCUUAUGUCCUGGGCUACACACGUGCUACAAUGAACGGUACAGAGCGCAGCAAGACCGCGAGGUCAAGCAAAUCGCAAAAAGCCGUUCUCAGUACAGAUUGGAGUCUGAAACCCGACUCCAUGAAGGUGGAAUCGCUAGUAAUCGCGCAUCAGCAUGGCGCGGUGAUACGUUCCCGGGCCUUGUACACACCGCCCGUCACACCACCCGAGUUGGGGGUACCCGAAGUCGCUAGUCUAACCGGUAACGGAGGACGGUGCCGAAGUAUGCCUGUAAGGGG